UGAUUAUGUGUUGUCUAUAUUACAUGCAAGUGAUCCUGGCUAUUUGCUUCCAUUGUUCAUAUUUGCUUCCGCCGUUCAAGAAUCUCUUUGAAGUUUUGUGUUUCUAAUUGAGUUUUAUUGCUGUCUCGACGCCGAUUGUAAUCGUGGCAUUACUCUGUUGGUGUAACUAUUGGAACUCUCAUUAAAGGAAAGCAUAUUUCAGAUUGAGGCGAGGUUUUUGUCGAUUCUGAACUUUCUGUUUGAAGAAUUGUUUCAGGU
Molecule: long non-coding RNA, 258 nt
Filed under: Nicotiana benthamiana
Lineage: Eukaryota; Viridiplantae; Streptophyta; Magnoliopsida; Solanales; Solanaceae
Description: long non-coding RNA (NBEN_LNC036539)
Source: RNAcentral